RNAcentral lists this ribosomal RNA (146 nucleotides) under uncultured Methanomicrobiales archaeon. RNAcentral describes it as "partial 16S ribosomal RNA". It matches the Rfam family "Archaeal small subunit ribosomal RNA", at positions 1195 to 1338 of the family's 1478-position model. Lineage: Archaea; Methanobacteriati; Methanobacteriota; Methanomicrobia; Methanomicrobiales. The record is from RNAcentral.
ACGAAUAGGGUAUCGACACCGAAAGGUGAAGGCAAUCUCCUAAACCCAUCCGUAGUUCGGAUUGUGGGCUGCAACUCGCCCACAUGAAGCUGGAAUCUGUAGUAAUCGUGUCUCAAAAUGGCACGGUGAAUAUGUCCCUGCUCCUU